AUUGAACGCUGGCGGCAGGCCUAACACAUGCAAGUCGAGCGGAUAAAGGGAGCUUGCUCCUGGAUUCAGCGGCGGACGGGUGAGUAAUGCCUAGGAAUCUGCCUGGUAGUGGGGGAUAACGUCCGGAAACGGGCGCUAAUACCGCAUACGUCCUGAGGGAGAAAGUGGGGGAUCUUCGGACCUCACGCUAUCAGAUGAGCCUAGGUCGGAUUAGCUAGUUGGUGGGGUAAAGGCCUACCAGGGCGACGAUCCGUAACUGGUCUGAGAGGAUGAUCAGUCACACUGGAACUGAGACACGGUCCAGACUCCUACGGGAGGCAGCAGUGGGGAAUAUUGGACAAUGGGCGAAAGCCUGAUCCAGCCAUGCCGCGUGUGUGAAGAAGGUCUUCGGAUUGUAAAGCACUUUAAGUUGGGAGGAAGGGCAGUAGGUUAAUACCUUGCUGUUUUGACGUUACCAACAGAAUAAGCACCGGCUAACUUCGUG
RNAcentral lists this ribosomal RNA (484 nucleotides) under uncultured bacterium. RNAcentral's name for it is "partial 16S ribosomal RNA". It matches the Rfam family "Bacterial small subunit ribosomal RNA", at positions 30 to 507 of the family's 1533-position model. The record is from RNAcentral.